GUUAACUUCCGGGUUAUUUUUGCAUGUUAGUGAGGGUCGUAAAUAAGGAUAAAAAUAUAGUAAUUCAAUGAGAUUCCAUAGAAAUAGAAAGAAUUUUUACGAUUUACAAAAAUGGCGACCUCAACACAGGAUAGUUUCGGAGAAGCUCCGUUGAAGAAACCAAAACAUAAUUUCGAAAGCCCAGGAGAGUUUACUGAAGAUGACGAAGUGAUGUUUACAUUUCCAAAAAAUACUACAACCAACAAUCGGUUGUUCUUCUCCAAAGUUAUUAUAACAAGAUGUUCACCCGUGAUUAAGGCCUACUUUGAACAUGAUUGCAUUGAGCGGAGGAAAAAAGAAGUAGUCAUUGAGGACAUUGAUAUGGCUGAUUUUAUACAAUUCUUAAAAUUUUGUGAUCCAUUGCUAGUAGAGCUUCCAACAGACCAAAACGUGAUCCAGAUGGUAGAAAUCGCAGAAAAGUACCAAAAUGAGUCCAUGAUUAAACAUUGCAGAAAAAUAUUAAGUGACAGUGUUUUGAAGAAAGAAAUUCAAGAGGCAAUACGUGUGUCUUCUUAUAGUUGCACUUCACAGUAUGCAGAAAAAAUACUCGCAGUAUUAUUACUGGCGGUCAAGUUUGAUUAUGAAGAGCUAUUGCAAGAAGGGGCGGAUUAUUUGAUGUGUUUUGAUGUUCGCCAACUGCUCAACAAGGAGAGUUUUGAACAGCUGCCUUUGGACUUGAAAUAUCGUAUUCUGUCACAACGUGUAAUUAAAGUGUAUAAAGACCCUGGCUUCAAAUUGAUUACAAACAUAUAUAAUAAGUAUACAUGUACACACCCUGUCAGAUUUGUCAGAGAUUUACCGAUAUCGGUCUCUCGAUGAACAAACGACACUUGUAAGUGUUCUAUGUUAUCUGAGCAUGUAAUUUGGCUUAAUGAGAUAAUAUGUGUUUAAUAGUAGGCAAUAAUAUUUUCGUAAAAUUUUGAAUUUAUAACAGAGCUAAUUCCAAAAUUGCGGCCGCGAGGAAUCUCUGAGCAAGGACUGUUCGCUAGUUUUUGCUGUUGUGGUAAAAAUAGGUUUUAACUAAAUAUUACUGCAUAAUAUUUCACAAUUUUCCAUAAAAAAUACUAUUUUCUUAUUUGAAACAUUAUUUUUCUGAUAAAAUAAAUAAAUGCAUACAUACAAGUUAGGUAACUCAUCCCUUGACAUUUUAUUUGCAUGUAUAUAAUUUUCUUGCCAAUAUUUCAUUUCAAAGACAUUUUCAUAUGGUUUUACCAUAUUUUGGUGCCUUUUCCCAUAUUUAAUAUAUUUUUUUAUAUAAGACCCUAAGUUUUACAUUUGUGAGAAAUAUUUACAUAAAUUAGUGUAUUUGAACCAGUAUUUUCUUUCCUUUAGUUGAUAAGGAAUCAGUCUGUAUUAAGAUCAGCAGUGACCCAUUCCAACUAGAGCUGUGAUAAGAAUGGUUUAAUUCCUAUAAUUAGGGGCCAUUGAUUGGAAUAAUUUCUGUUUAUUAAUCUCUAUUUUAGAAUUAGUGCUUGUGUUUGAUUUCAGUGAUGAUUUUGUGAUCAUUAGAAUGUUUGUUACACAUAAUGAGACUUUAGUCAAAGUCAAAGUUUUAUUAACAAAUUUAAUUAGAACAUUGCCAGUACACAAAGAACAUACGAGAUGGCAUUAAUGACAACAAAAAAGAGUGAACUAUAUAUAUGAAAUAAAUAUGAGAUCAUUUUUACAACAUUUAAUCUUGAGGAGAAAAGUAUGAACAAUAACUAUAAAUGAAAUGUAUUUAGACAUGUUAAUUAUGCUAAGCAGCAUUUCUUCUAUCCGUAGCGAAUGAUUAAUAAGUAGCAAUAUAAUUCAAUAUUUUAUCAUUAUUACAGGACAUCACGUUAUUAAAUUUGGUCAUAUUAGGCCAGUGAAUAUAAUACAUGGGUAUAUAUAUUGUACGUAAAUCCAAAUAAUGAGGACACACUAACAAAAAGUGGUAUUCAUUUUCUACAACAUUCAUAUUACAUUUAUUUCAUUUUCUAUCUUUUCGGUUUACAUUUCUAUAUCUUCCUUCUUCAAUAUUAAGGUUGUGUGCUGUUAAUAUAACUUUGUGAUUAUAAAUACAAAGGGACCAAGUUUCCCAUUGAAUGAUUCCAUUGGGGCCUUUGUUUACAUUCUUGUGUCAAGGUCAGACAGAUAUUUGAAUUAUUAUUAUGUAAAUAUUGUGAUUAAUUACCCUGGAACAUUAUUAUUCAAGUACUAGAACUUUGCAAAUACUUAAAGACUUUAUUGAUUGAGUGAAAUUGGACUAUAUAUUUGACUGGAAAUAUUAAGUUACCUAUCGGGUAAAAUGAUAUAUUCACUGCUUGACUUUUUGAUCAUUUUCUGAAGUUAAUAGUUUAUUGUUUCUCUUAUUGAAGUCUCUUUGAGUAUAAGUUCUACUAUAUAAAUCCUUAAUGAAUAUUUCAUGAUGUAUAUAAUUUAGUGACUAUUUCAUGUAUAUUAUUAUUGUGAUUAGGGGCAAACAUUUUUAGCCAAUGAAGUGUGAGCAUCUACUUAACCCCUGAUCAUUUCCUAGUAUAUAAUGCUCUGCAUCUCUACUAGCAGCACUCUGCUCCAGAAAUUCUUGUUGACAAUAUCUUAAGAUAAGCUCAGAAGACUCCCACCAACAUUUACCUCAGAGGUGUGCAGCAAUACUUUGUCAUUUUUGAUAACAACUUGAAGAUGCUAGAUUUAUUUCUACCUUAAAAUAUUUAUAUCUUACAAAUUGUCUAGCUGAUUUAUCAGCACUAUUGAGUGUCUAUGAAAGAUUAACCAGGUAGUCCUGUUGACCCUCUAGGUUGAUGGUGGUCAAUUGAUGACAAUAGCCUCAGUUCAAUUUCAACACUGGUAUUCACCAUUUCAAUUCAUUUAGGGUCUAAAACAGCACUAACAUGUGGCACUUUGAACUUGCCCUGCCUAAUCUUGUGUUUAAUUUGUUCAUUUUGACUGCCAUUCUGAUUUCAUUUGCAAUUAUUAGUAUUCAGUCAUACAUUCUUCAGACUUGGCUUGCCCUUAAUAAUUUUGUUCUUCACCGUAAUAUCACACCCCCUUUUUGGGGUUAGUUUUGUUGAUCUGUAUUGAGCAACUACAUUUUUCUAUACAUUUUUCUGUAAACCUUUAUAUUUCUGAAAGUUUGCUAAAAUAAAGUGACUAUUAU
Mya arenaria is the source of this 3160-nucleotide long non-coding RNA. RefSeq lists it as uncharacterized. NCBI's taxonomy places the organism in Eukaryota, Metazoa, Mollusca, Bivalvia, Myida, Myidae. The transcript is spliced from 3 exons. The record is from RefSeq and is a predicted model, not a curated record.